Molecule: ribosomal RNA, 293 nt
Filed under: Listeria monocytogenes
Lineage: Bacteria; Bacillati; Bacillota; Bacilli; Caryophanales; Listeriaceae
Description: partial 23S ribosomal RNA
Rfam family: Bacterial large subunit ribosomal RNA
Source: RNAcentral
GACGGUAACAGCCCGGUAGUUGAAAUGGCUUUCCCUCCAGAGUGGAUCCUGAGUACGGCGGAACACGUGAAAUUCCGUCGGAAUCCGGGAGGACCAUCUCCCAAGGCUAAAUACUCCCUAGUGACCGAUAGUGAACCAGUACCGUGAGGGAAAGGUGAAAAGCACCCCGGAAGGGGAGUGAAACAGUUCCUGAAACCGUGUGCCUACAAGUAGUUAGAGCCCGUUAAUGGGUGAUAGCGUGCCUUUUGUAGAAUGAACCGGCGAGUUACGAUUUGUUGCAAGGUUAAGCGGAA